This is a long non-coding RNA of Oncorhynchus kisutch (coho salmon), 1193 nucleotides long. RefSeq lists it as uncharacterized. Lineage: Eukaryota; Metazoa; Chordata; Actinopteri; Salmoniformes; Salmonidae. The record is from RefSeq and is a predicted model, not a curated record. The transcript is spliced from 4 exons.
ACUGGAUGAGAGUUUAGUGAGUCACAGCUCUAUCACCAUAUGUCCUUAUCUCUUCAGAUCUCAAUGAGUGCCAGAAGACACCACAGGUUUGUGGCAGCAACGCCACUUGCCUCAACACCAUCGGGAGCUACCUCUGCCAGUGUCAACCUGGGUUCAGAUCCACAACGCCUGUCAACUAUACUGCUCUCACUGGGGAGUGUAAGGACGUGAAUGAGUGUAAGGAGCAGACUGCUGAUUGCCCCAACAACUCAUCCUGUGUGAACACCCCAGGGUCCUACGUCUGCAACUGCCAGUCUGGGUACACACUAACAGAGAGCAAGUGUGAAGACCUCGAUGAGUGCCAAGAUUCACCUCAGGUUUGUGGCAGCAACGCCAGUUGCCUCAACACCAUUGGGAGCUACCACUGCCAGUGUCAACCUGGGUUCAGAUUCUCUCAUCACACUGUGAAGGACUGAUGGAAAGUCCAAUAUCAUGUUUUCUGAUGAGUUUACCAAUGAUUGUGUCACGUCUGCUCCUGCUCCCCCUCUCUGACGCUCGAGGAUGCCAGGCGGCUCAUCAUUACUCACACCUCUCCCCAUCGUUACGUGCCCCAGCGCUUCAUCGGACUCACCUGGACGCCAUCACGGCAUUGAUUAUCUACCCUAUAUCUGUCACCCCCUCCAGUUAAUUUUCCGCGUCUGCAUUGAUGCUGUUUUGUUUCUCCUGUCCAGACGCUGUUCCUGUUUUUCAUGUCUGUUAACCCAUUAAAUAUUCAUUCCCUGUACUUACUACAUUUCCUUUUCAAAGACUUGCUGAGGCAUUUAUCAGUUAGUGACACUGUAGUAAUAUACAGUAUAAAGAUACCUGGAUCAGGCUGUUUUUUAAUUGAUUUUUAUUGAACCUUUAUUUAACUGGACAAGUCAGUUAAUUAAAAACAACAUUUUAUUUACCAUGAUGCCCUAGGAACAGUGGGUUAACUGCCUUGUUCAGAGGCAGAACAACAUAUAUAUUUUUCUUCCAGUUCCGGAGAUUCAAUCUAGGAACCAUUCGGUUAUUGGCCCAAUGCUCUAACCACUAGGCUACUGCCGCCCCUUAGGAUACCUAUCUCCCUGCUGUUAACCUCUCUUGGGUAGGGGGCAGUAUUUUCACCUCCGGAUGAAAAGCGUGCCCAAAGUAAAUUGCCUGUUACUCAGGCCCAGAAUUUAGGAUAUGCA